CAGCGCUUCCCCACGGUUCUCUCUGCAGGGACAGCGAUAGCAGUGCGGGGACACGAGGGAUUCCUCUGGGAGACGGGGGGGUUGUGCUGCCUGUACGGAGUGCGGCGGUACGAGGCGGGACACCCGCACCUGUCACGGUCCUCUGAGGGAGUUUGGUCUCAGAGACGAGCUUUGACUUUGCUAAGUAGCAGUUACAGGCCGAAGCCUAUGAUAAAACCAAAUGCUUUAAAUUUAAUUUCACAUUUUGACAGAUUAUACCGAUCUUUUUUUUUUUUGGUGGCAUAUGGUAAUACAGAUAGUUUUAAUUUUAUUUAUAGUUUUGCAUAGUUUAUAUUGUGGAGUAACAGAUCCGUAAUUUUUAUUCCAGAAUGAUGAGCGUCUGUUUGACAGUGCUCACUGUGAGCUAAAAGGCAUCUCUAAGGGUUACCUAAAGCAACAGCAGGGCACCAUUGUGUUAAUUGACAGAAAUAAAUUAUUAAUUUAGGUGUGGUUCCCAUGGAAGUUCUGCUUUGAAAGUGGGUUUUGUAUUUUUUUCUUUUAAUUAAAUCUGAUGCUUUAGCAAUUGGUAAGUAAUGGGAGAGUUCUCCAGAGAGUUCAGUGAGCAGAGGUGGUGCAGGUAAGCUCUGAAGGUUUAAUAAUGCACAAAGCACACAGGACUUGUUUGGAAUUGACUGCAGGCAAGGCCUGACAUGGAGGAAAGGUCUGGAAUUUUGGUGUUUGGAUCUGGGUUGUAAGUAUAAAGAUGGCUGAAGAUCUCUACAGAAUUUGUAGAAGAUGAGGCAUUUAGUGUUGAGGGAGCUUUGAUUCUGUGCUGUCAUUCUGUUCUAUGCAGGGGAUAAAGUGGAGAGUGUCAGAGGGGAACCUAGAGGAGACCUGGAGAGGGACUUUGGCCAAGGGCAUGGAGUGACAGGAUGGGGGAAUGGCUUUGCACUGACUGAGAGCUUCCAUAGAGGAGGGAAUUCCUGGAAGGUGGGCAGGCCCUGGCACAGAGCAGCUGUGGCUGUCCCUGGGUCCCUGGCAGUGCCCAAGGCCAGCUUGGAGGGGGUUUGGGGCACUCUGGGAUAGUGAAGGUUGUCCCUGCUAUGGUAGGGGGUUGGAAUUGGAUGAUAUUUUUAAUGUUCUUUCCAACCCAAACCAUUCUCUGAUUCUAUUAUGUCUAACCCAAAUGUUAACAAAACUUCCAAAAUUCCAUUUGAAUGUGAACUUCUGAUCUCUGUGGAAUGUAUUGGGGAAAUCCUGGCUUGGAUUGUGAGCUGUUCCUGAGGCAUGGUUUGUAUCUCUGUACUUGGUGUAGAACCAUUCAAUAAAUAACAGUUUGUGAUUGAACUAAUCAGUCUUGUUUCUGAUUUCUAGCAUAAAAAUCCUGUCCCUGUGGAUGUAGCAGUUACAGCCAGCACAAUUGGGAGGCUCAUGGCACAUCACCCACCAAGCUGCUGACUGCAAGGAUAUCCUCACAUUGGUGAGGAUAGUUACAGCUAUGCUGGGAAGUCAUGCAGUGUUGCAAAACAACUGCACAGCACUGCAGGGAAGCUGAAGAUUUGUGCAGCAGCUUUAAUUUAGAUGUGGCAAAGGAUUCUGUCAUCACCUGCAAUCAAGUGAUCAGCCUGUCUUUCAAAACUUGAAGUAGGUGCUUGAAGUCAGAUGAGAAUUUAGUUACUGUUCUGGGUAGCACUGCUCACAGGAGAAUGUUCUUACAUAUUUCUCAAAAGAACACUUUGGAUGCCAGCAGUAAAGGUGAAGGAUCAGAUAUUUAUAUCUACCUGUCAUUAGUUCCCUUUCAGGCUUUCUGAGUAACAUUUUUCAUGGCAGGCACAAGACAGUGAUUCGUACCAGAAAUGUAUUUUGUGCAUGUUCAGGCUGCAUCAGUGCAUCAAACAUUCCAGUGUUGUAAAUUUAAUUAUUUAAAUUCUCUAUGCUUUUUAACUGGCUUCCAAAUUAUCUCUGCAGUUUGCAGCCUUUUUUUCUUGGCUUCUGAGGUGGAAACCUUAUUCCUGAUGCAAAUUCUUUAUCUGUGAAAGUUUGGAUCUUUCAAGGGGAGAAAAUAUGUUUCUUACAGGAUUGAAGGAAUAGUUUUGUUGGUAAAUACAGUUACACAUCUACAGGUUGAAUAUAUUUUAUGUUCUUGAAAUAAACUUAAAUGGAAAACAUUUAAACUUCUA
Zonotrichia albicollis (white-throated sparrow) is the source of this 2159-nucleotide non-coding RNA. Lineage: Eukaryota; Metazoa; Chordata; Aves; Passeriformes; Passerellidae. The record is from RefSeq and is a predicted model, not a curated record.